CACGUAGGCACCAAGCGUUAUCCGGAUUUAUUGGGCGUAAAGAGCUCGUAGGCGGUUCGGUAAGUCGGGUGUGAAAACUCUGGGCUCAACCCAGAGAGGCCACCCGAUACUGCUGUGACUAGAGUGCGGUAGGGGAGCGGGGAAUUCCUGGUGUAGCGGUGAAAUGCGCAGAUAUCAGGAGGAACACCAGCGGCGAAGGCGACUACCUGGCCUGUUCUUGACGCUGAGGCGCGAAAGCUAGGGGAGCAAACGGG
Molecule: ribosomal RNA, 254 nt
Filed under: uncultured bacterium
Lineage: Bacteria
Description: partial 16S ribosomal RNA
Rfam family: Bacterial small subunit ribosomal RNA
Source: RNAcentral